RNAcentral lists this ribosomal RNA (1085 nucleotides) under Citrobacter freundii. RNAcentral describes it as "bacterial LSU rRNA". It matches the Rfam family "Bacterial large subunit ribosomal RNA", at positions 1762 to 2839 of the family's 2925-position model. Lineage: Bacteria; Pseudomonadati; Pseudomonadota; Gammaproteobacteria; Enterobacterales; Enterobacteriaceae. The record is from RNAcentral.
UGGAGCUGAAAUCAGUCGAAGAUACCAGCUGGCUGCAACUGUUUAUUAAAAACACAGCACUGUGCAAACACGAAAGUGGACGUAUACGGUGUGACGCCUGCCCGGUGCCGGAAGGUUAAUUGAUGGGGUUAUCCGUAAGGAGAAGCUCUUGAUCGAAGCCCCGGUAAACGGCGGCCGUAACUAUAACGGUCCUAAGGUAGCGAAAUUCCUUGUCGGGUAAGUUCCGACCUGCACGAAUGGCGUAAUGAUGGCCAGGCUGUCUCCACCCGAGACUCAGUGAAAUUGAACUCGCUGUGAAGAUGCAGUGUACCCGCGGCAAGACGGAAAGACCCCGUGAACCUUUACUAUAGCUUGACACUGAACACUGGUCCUUGAUGUGUAGGAUAGGUGGGAGGCUUUGAAGUGUGGACGCCAGUCUGCAUGGAGCCAUCCUUGAAAUACCACCCUUUAAUGGCUGGUGUUCUAACGUGGACCCGUGAUCCGGGUUGCGGACAGUGUCUGGUGGGUAGUUUGACUGGGGCGGUCUCCUCCUAAAGAGUAACGGAGGAGCACGAAGGUUAGCUAAUCCUGGUCGGACAUCAGGAGGUUAGUGCAAAGGCAUAAGCUAGCUUGACUGCGAGAGUGACGGCUCGAGCAGGUGCGAAAGCAGGUCUUAGUGAUCCGGUGGUUCUGAAUGGAAGGGCCAUCGCUCAACGGAUAAAAGGUACUCCGGGGAUAACAGGCUGAUACCGCCCAAGAGUUCAUAUCGACGGCGGUGUUUGGCACCUCGAUGUCGGCUCAUCACAUCCUGGGGCUGAAGUAGGUCCCAAGGGUAUGGCUGUUCGCCAUUUAAAGUGGUACGCGAGCUGGGUUUAGAACGUCGUGAGACAGUUCGGUCCCUAUCUGCCGUGGGCGCUGGAGAAUUGAGGGGGGCUGCUCCUAGUACGAGAGGACCGGAGUGGACGCAUCACUGGUGUUCGGGUUGUCAUGCCAAUGGCAUUGCCCGGUAGCUAAAUGCGGAAGAGAUAAGUGCUGAAAGCAUCUAAGCACGAAACUUGCCCCGAGAUGAGUUCUCCCUGAGACUAUAAGUCUCCUGAAGGAACGUU